This 670-nucleotide ribosomal RNA is filed under the name uncultured Enterobacterales bacterium. Its description in RNAcentral is "bacterial SSU rRNA". It matches the Rfam family "Bacterial small subunit ribosomal RNA", at positions 62 to 723 of the family's 1533-position model. Lineage: Bacteria; Pseudomonadati; Pseudomonadota; Gammaproteobacteria; Enterobacterales. The record is from RNAcentral.
UCGAACGGUAGCACAGAGAGCUUGCUCUCGGGUGACGAGUGGCGGACGGGUGAGUAAUGUCUGGGAAACUGCCUGAUGGAGGGGGAUAACUACUGGAAACGGUAGCUAAUACCGCAUAACGUCGCAAGACCAAAGAGGGGGACCUUCGGGCCUCUUGCCAUCAGAUGUGCCCAGAUGGGAUUAGCUAGUAGGUGGGGUAACGGCUCACCUAGGCGACGAUCCCUAGCUGGUCUGAGAGGAUGACCAGCCACACUGGAACUGAGACACGGUCCAGACUCCUACGGGAGGCAGCAGUGGGGAAUAUUGCACAAUGGGCGCAAGCCUGAUGCAGCCAUGCCGCGUGUAUGAAGAAGGCCUUCGGGUUGUAAAGUACUUUCAGCGGGGAGGAAGGUGUUGUGGUUAAUAACCGCAGCAAUUGACGUUACCCGCAGAAGAAGCACCGGCUAACUCCGUGCCAGCAGCCGCGGUAAUACGGAGGGUGCAAGCGUUAAUCGGAAUUACUGGGCGUAAAGCGCACGCAGGCGGUCUGUCAAGUCGGAUGUGAAAUCCCCGGGCUCAACCUGGGAACUGCAUUCGAAACUGGCAGGCUAGAGUCUUGUAGAGGGGGGUAGAAUUCCAGGUGUAGCGGUGAAAUGCGUAGAGAUCUGGAGGAAUACCGGUGGCGAAGGCG